UCAGAAUAGGGGAUCCAGAAAUCGCUCUGGCCCUGUUUCACAAAAAUUUAAACUUCUCAUAAAAUAUAACUCAUAUACCUGUUUUGUUCCAUCCAUAUGAAAAUAGACUAAUAAUUCUUCAAUUCCAUAUUUUAUUCAUCAUCUAAUUGUAUCUAUACUAUUUUUAAUGAUUUUUCAAACUCACAUCACUGCUGCUGUCUGGAUCUAUUUUAUGGUAAAUUUUUCCUAUUUCAUGGUUUCCAUGGAUUAGCUAGCAAUUUAGCAUAUAUAACACCAAAUAUGAUCAUGAUUAGCCAUUCCAAUGGCUAAUCAUUACCAAACAUUUCCAUACCACUCAAUAUCCAUAUCAUAAGACCAUAUAUACAAAAUGAUUAUAAUGCUAUACAUGCCAUACUCAAAAUAUACAAGCCAUUACGCCAAGAUGGUAUACGGAUAGUGUGAGUGGGCCUCCGACCGUUCCCGAUUUCCGAGCUGGCUUAUCAAAACUACAAGGAAUGAAAAGGAGGGAGUAAGCAUAAAUGCUUAGUAAGUCCAUAUGAAAUUAAUAAGCAAUUACCAACAUGCUUUUAAGAUAAAACACCACAAUUGUACAAUUAUACAUACUCAGCUUAAACUGUUUUAUCGAGAUACAUUUACUAAAUAAUUUAUUUCUGGAGCUACGAAACUCCAAAUUAAGUUCCGUUAAUUUUCCUUGAAACUAGAUUCAUAUACCUUUCUCCCAUAAAAUUUCCAGAAUUUUUGGUUUAGCCAUUUAGUCCAGUUUAUUCAUUAAAGUUUCCCCUGUUUCACUGUCCAACAGUUCUGAUCUCUCUUCACUAAAAAUUAUUUAUCUCAUAAUUCGGGACUUGGAUGAUGUUUCUGUCUAUCCCUCUUGAAAAUGUCUCGAUAAGGAUUUUAAAUAUAUAAAUUAAAACUCAUAAUUAUUUUUGUACAAUUUCUAAUGAUUUUCUAAAAUCAGAACAGGGGAUCUCGAAGUCAUUCAAACUCUGUCUCACAACAAUUUAAAUAUCUUAUAACAUAAAAUCCAAUUGCAUGCACCGUUUCCUCUAUAUGAAACUAGACUCAUCAGGCUUUAAUCUCAUAUUUUAUUCAGCCCUUAACUCAAUUUCCACAAUUUAUGGUGAAUUUCAAAAGAUACACUACUGCAGUAACUCAAAUCUGUCAAAGCUAAAUUACUCAUUCAUGAUCAUUUUCCACUAUUUUUAGUGUAUUUUCAACCCGAGGGUUAAGUACAUACCUGUUCAAAGUAUCCAUUUCACAACAUUUAUCAAUACGUCCCUUUCAUCUCGAGUAUUCCUCUAUUUGAGUAGAAUUUUACCCGUUGAACACAUCGGAAUAUAAUUCGGAUACAUGGAAAGUUUGCACAUAAGUGCCACAUAUGUAGCCAAGCUACCAUGUAACCCGCCCAUAAGUGAACUCGGACUCAACUCAACGAGCUCGGGCGUUCGCAUCCAUAAGUGAACUCGGACUCAACUCAACGAGCUCGGAUGCCUAGUUACAUCUCACGAACUCGGACUCAACUCAACGAGUUCGAACAUUCGCAUCCAUAAGUGAACUCGGACUCAACUCAACGAGCUCGGAUGCCUAAAUAUCCCAGUGACAUGUCACUUGUAUCCUAAUCUAUUCCUAAGGUUCAACGGGACCUUUUUCGCAAUCAUGUGUUUCAACCAUCUUCUACGGAAUGCCGAUACCAAUACUCGGUAGUAUUUCACAUUUUCCAAGUAUAUCAUAUAAUUUGACAUAUUAUCAAACAAUUAUCACAAGUAUAAUAUCUCAUAAUAAUUAUCAUAUCAUUUAAAUAACAUCAAAACAUUUAAAAUAAUAACUAUGUUACCAACAUUUACAUAUGAACUUACCUCGAUAUAAAAUAUUAGCAAUCGAGCUUAUUCCUCGUAAACUUUAUUUUUCCCUCGAUCACGACUUGAAUCUCGUUUCUCUUGAUCUAUAAUAUAAAUUAUUUCUACUCAUUAGAAUUUAUUUGAUUUCUAUUUCACUUCACAAUUUAUGCUGUUCAAAUUUAAAAAUUGCACUUUUACCCCAAAAUUUAUAGUUUUUACAAUUUAGUCCCUACUCAAUUCACCCAUAAAUUGAACUAAUUUUUCUCAAUUAACACUUUAUUUUAUCAUUAUAAACUAUUUCACAACCUUUUAUAUUCUGAAUUUCAACACCAACAUCUAAUUCACAAUUAUUUUCACAAUUAGGUCCUAAAUACCAUUUUCUAUCAAAAUGACUUAAUAAAACAACCUUAAUAUGAAAUUAGAACUUCAAUUUCAUAAUAAUUCAUCAUAAACUUCCCUUACUCAGCCAGGGGAACUUCCAAUUUCAUCCACCAAAUCAAAAACUAAUGAAUUAGAUGAUUGGACCUAAUUGUAAAAGUCACAAAAACAUAAAAAUUACUAAGAAAAAGUAAAAAUUGAACUUACAUGGUGCAAAAAUAUGAAAAACCAGCAUAGGAGACCUGCUACAGCGUUUCUGGCUGAGAAAGAUGAAGAAAU
This 2495-nucleotide long non-coding RNA is filed under the name Gossypium barbadense (sea-island cotton). RNAcentral's name for it is "long non-coding RNA (GBAR_LNC004022)". Lineage: Eukaryota; Viridiplantae; Streptophyta; Magnoliopsida; Malvales; Malvaceae. The record is from RNAcentral.